RNAcentral lists this long non-coding RNA (273 nucleotides) under Chinchilla lanigera (long-tailed chinchilla). RNAcentral describes it as "lncRNA (ENSCLAG00000026722.1)". Lineage: Eukaryota; Metazoa; Chordata; Mammalia; Rodentia; Chinchillidae. The record is from RNAcentral.
CUCUUAAUUACACUUUGCCACCUAGCGGGCUGUUCUCUUACAGAUGAGUUACUCUCUCAACUUCGUCUUCUCAGCAUACAGACAGUGAGCUCCACAGCCAGGUGAGUUGUCUGAGCAAAGGGAAGAAACGAAGGAGUCAGAUGAGAGCAGAUGAUGGGAACCUGCUUCAAGGAUUGUGCUCCUUCCUGUGCCCCUUCCCUUGGAUUGAGCUGGACAGUGAGAGCUCCCUGCAUUUCCUCUGGCUACCAUUCACGCACUAUGGCAGAACAAGCA